GAUGAACGCUAGCUAUAGGCCUAACACAUGCAAGUCGAGGGACCGGCGCACGGGUGAGUAACGCGUAUCCAACCUGCCCAUAACUAAGGGAUAACCCAGCGCAAGUUGGACUAAUACCUUAUGGUUAUGGAUGGGGAUGCGUCUGAUUAGCUUGUUGGCGAGGUAACGGCCCACCAAGGCAACGAUCAGUAGGGGUUCUGAGUGGAAGGUCACCCAGAUUUGAACUGAGACACAGUCCAAACUGCUACGGGGGGGAGGAGAGAGGAAUAUUGGGCAAGGGACGCGAGGCUGACCAAGCCAAGUAGGGUGCAGGAGGACGGCCUAUGGGUGGUAAACUGCUUUUAAAUGAGGAUAGGUACCAUAUGAAUAAGGACCGGCUAAUUCCGUGCCAGCAGCCGCGGUAAUUC
RNAcentral lists this ribosomal RNA (407 nucleotides) under uncultured bacterium. RNAcentral's name for it is "partial 16S ribosomal RNA". It matches the Rfam family "Bacterial small subunit ribosomal RNA", at positions 28 to 526 of the family's 1533-position model. The record is from RNAcentral.